GAGUUUGAUCAUGGCUCAGAUUGAACGCUGGCGGCAUGCCUUACACAUGCAAGUCGAACGGCAGCACGGGAGCUUGCUCCUGGUGGCGAGUGGCGAACGGGUGAGUAAUGCAUCGGAACGUAUCCUGGAGUGGGGGAUAACGUAGCGAAAGUUACGCUAAUACCGCAUAUUCUGUGAGCAGGAAAGCGGGGGACCUUCGGGCCUCGCGCUCUUGGAGCGGCCGAUGUCGGAUUAGCUAGUUGGUGAGGUAAAGGCUCACCAAGGCGACGAUCCGUAGCAGGUCUGAGAGGAUGAUCUGCCACACUGGAACUGAGACACGGUCCAGACUCCUACGGGAGGCAGCAGUGGGGAAUUUUGGACAAUGGGGCAACCCUGAUCCAGCCAUGCCGCGUGAGUGAAGAAGGCC
This 406-nucleotide ribosomal RNA is filed under the name bacterium enrichment culture clone ALO1_GLFRUDD03GAVDD. RNAcentral's name for it is "bacterial SSU rRNA". It matches the Rfam family "Bacterial small subunit ribosomal RNA", at positions 9 to 416 of the family's 1533-position model. RNAcentral also lists the same sequence under 1 other name. The record is from RNAcentral.